This is a long non-coding RNA of Sarcophilus harrisii (Tasmanian devil), 611 nucleotides long. RefSeq lists it as uncharacterized. The transcript is spliced from 3 exons. The record is from RefSeq and is a predicted model, not a curated record. Lineage: Eukaryota; Metazoa; Chordata; Mammalia; Dasyuromorphia; Dasyuridae.
CUGAGGCUGAGAGAAGUGAAGUGAAAGGGUUCAAGUUCUAGGAGGAACUCUCCACUUGGAGGAGAACUUUCCAGGAUGAGAAGACUAUAUGGAAUAGAGAAGUGAAAAGGGGAGUUGAUGAGAGCAAGAUGCAUAAGAAACUGUAACUAAAUGGAGGCUACCUGAUUCUUCAUGGAGAAAAAAAAAAUAAAGAAAUUGGUCAAGUUAGUUUCAUCAUUUACUUGAAGGCAUCAAGAUACAUCAUUUCAUGGUCUAUUCAGUCAUUUGCCUUGCAUUGCUCAUAAUGAACAUGAGCCAGAAGACUACCCUGAAAAUAGCAACAGACAACAUUUGUUGUAGAAGGUGAGGAGGUAGAGGAAUUCUAUAAGGAACUUGGCAAAAAUCCUCCAAACCACGUUAAAAUGCUUACACUGAUAUAUAAUGAAUUGAGAGUGAAGAUCAGUACAAGGAAGAACAGUGAAAGCUAUGUUGGAAAUUAUGUUUCAAGAUUAAAAACAAGAAGACAAAUCAUAUACUUUAUCUCUCUAUAUUAGUGGUUCUCAAACUUUUUGGUUUCAGAACAUUUUAACAUUCCUCAAAAUUAUUGUAGACCCCAAGGAGCUUUUGAUUAU